GUUGAAAGGAGUCCAACCGGGUGUGAACUGCACCUGCAGUCCCAGCUUUCUUGAAACCAAGAGAUCCCAAGUUUUACUCCACCCGUUAUCAACACACAUGCACACAAAGGUGUCCAAAGUGUAUUUCAGACUUCCUCCUCUGUGGAAAAUUGCCAGUGGUGUGCUUUGCAUGGGUGAGGCCCAGCUAUUACCAUCAUAAAAGGGGGUGGGAGGCUGGGGAGACAGCACAGCACUUCUUCUGCUCUUCCAGGGGACCGAUCCGCGUGGGACAGCUCACACGUGUCUGAAACUACCCCACCAGGAUCCCCUGGCUCUCUCUCCGCCUCUGGGAGACCGAAUUCAGGUGCACACUCUUCAAUUCUCGCCUACCCACCCCAAACCCAUGUAAUUAUAAAAAUAAGGAAUAUAAUCUUUUUAAAAAGUCACCCUGAAAAUGAUGUUUCGCUGACUUCUCCGCGCACACUUCCACUAACAAGGUCAGGACAAGAGUUUCCAGCAUGUUCUCUGUCUGGGCCUCGUGUUGUCAUCUUUCCCCGUAGGGACUGUGUGUACGGUGCGUCUCCGUCCUGAAGCCCUCCGUCCGGAAGCCCUCCGUCCUGUAGCACAGCACAGGUUCUUUCAGGGCUCUCCUACAGCUGGCCCUGUUGCUUAGCAGCUGAUCAUAGACUUGUACUGGCACCAGAGACCUGAGAAGGAAUAAAUGUGCCUGAGUACAUAGGAAGUGCAGAGCAAGCGGAUUCCAAAACUGUAGAAACGACAGAGGGGCUGGGUGUCUGGACAGCCACUCAAGGUU
This 793-nucleotide long non-coding RNA is filed under the name Rattus norvegicus (Norway rat). RNAcentral's name for it is "long non-coding RNA NONRATT003867". The record is from RNAcentral. Lineage: Eukaryota; Metazoa; Chordata; Mammalia; Rodentia; Muridae.